This is a regulatory RNA element of Fictibacillus enclensis, 93 nucleotides long. It matches the Rfam family "pan motif". NCBI's taxonomy places the organism in Bacteria, Bacillati, Bacillota, Bacilli, Caryophanales, Fictibacillaceae. The record is from Rfam.
AAGGCGGUAUCCUGCAUUUAGGAACUGCACUUUCUGAGAAGGAAAGAUUAACGUAUUAAUCUGCCUAGAUCCAUAAAGGACCGGGACAGAGGG